RNAcentral lists this ribosomal RNA (473 nucleotides) under uncultured bacterium. Its description in RNAcentral is "partial 16S ribosomal RNA". It matches the Rfam family "Bacterial small subunit ribosomal RNA", at positions 28 to 507 of the family's 1533-position model. The record is from RNAcentral.
GAUCAACGCUGGCGGCGCACAUAAGACAUGCAAGUUGAACGGACUUAAUCGAAAUAUUUAUAUUUUGAAGCGGUUAGUGGCGGACUGGUGAGUAACGCGUAAGGAACCUGCCUAUUAGAGGGGAAUAACAGUGAGAAAUCAUUGCUAAUACCGCAUAUGCCAUAGAUAUCACAUGAUAACAGUGGGAAAGGAGCAAUCCGCUAAUAGAUGGCCUUGCGUCUGAUUAGAUAGUUGGUGGGGUAACGGCCUACCAAGUCGACGAUCAGUAGCCGGACUGAGAGGUUGGCCGGCCACAUUGGGACUGAGGUACGGCCCGGACUCCUACGGGAGGCAGCAGUCGGGAAUAUUGCGCAAUGGAGGCAACUCUGACGCAGUGACGCCGCGUAUAGGAAGAAGGUUGUCGGAUUGUAGACUAUUGUCGUUAGGGAGGAGAAAGGACAGUACCUAAGGAGGAAGCACCGGCUAACUACGUG